RNAcentral lists this ribosomal RNA (253 nucleotides) under uncultured bacterium. RNAcentral's name for it is "partial 16S ribosomal RNA". It matches the Rfam family "Bacterial small subunit ribosomal RNA", at positions 524 to 776 of the family's 1533-position model. The record is from RNAcentral.
UACAGAGGGUGCGAGCGUUGUCCGGAAUCACUGGGCGUAAAGGGCGCGUAGGUGGUUGUGUAAGUCGGGGGUGAAAUGCUGCGGCUCAACCGCAGCGCUGUCUCUGAGACUGCACGGCUUGAGCACGGUAGAGGCCGAUGGAAUUCCCGGUGUAGCGGUGGAAUGCGUAGAGAUCGGGAAGAACACCGAUGGCGAAGGCAGUCGGCUGGGCCGUUGCUGACACUGAGGCGCGACAGCGUGGGGAGCAAACAGG